RNAcentral lists this long non-coding RNA (1249 nucleotides) under Homo sapiens (human). Lineage: Eukaryota; Metazoa; Chordata; Mammalia; Primates; Hominidae. The record is from RNAcentral.
CCCACCCCACUCCCACCGCCCUCUCCGCGGCCGUCCCCACCCCUAUCUCCGCGACCCCCACUCCUCCUCGGCUGUUCCCCAACCCUGUCACUGUGCUCCCCUCCCUACUCCCGGCCCGUAGUGGAGGUGACUUUCCUGCGCAGCGCCGCUUCUGAGGGCGGAGAACCCACAGGGAGUGCGACCCCUUUGCACGCUGUGAGUGGGCAACUGUCCGAGGGACUCGAGCCGAUCGAAGGCUGGACGCCCUAUAGGGCUCUUGGCAGUCCACGAAAGACCUGGAGUCCGCCUCCCCAUUUCUCCGGUCGGUGAGUGGCAGGAGGAAAUCGCCAAACAUGUUUUCCCGCUUUGCCUCCCCAACUCGGAAACUUGCAACUUGCCGUGUCCUGGAGGUUGAGACAAUUUGGGGUCUCUUGGCUGCCGUCCAACAGAUUUAUCUCUGAGGGCAGUGUCCUUGGUGAGAGGUCCAAGUAGGUGUGGGCGACAUUGUCCUCCAUCUCAUGAGGGAGCAGCCCUGCACACUAGGGCCCAAAACUCUGCGAAGGAGCUUGGAAGUUCUUCAUCCGUUCCACUUGUUUUGCUACUCCACACACCCUUCUAGGACAUGUUGAUUGCCAACUGCUCUGUGCAGCUUUCCCAUAGCUGUCUGUUCCCGUGCAUUUCGGAGCACCAAGCAAAUACGAGCAGAGAGACCUGGAAAAAAAAAUGAUGAAGACAGUAUUAAUGAUAAAAUUAACAUGGCUGAGUGAAUUGUCAAUGCAAGUUCCUUUACUAACUCUUUGUUAAGUUUUGCUUUGUACUCCUUACAUCCUCUUUCUCUUAAGCCAUUGUUUUAAUUUCUUCUCGUUAUCAUUUUUAAAAGUAACAGAAAUACAGCUUUCUUCCUACCUUCACGAUUGACUUGGUGGAGGUUGGGUUGCAAAGAGGAAGCAGUAAGAAAAAAUAAUUAUUCUAUACAUUCACAAGUCCUUCAAGGCACAAAAUAAAAGUAAGAAAUAGAAAAUAUGUCCUUUCUCCUAAUAAAGGUCUUUAUAAUAAAAUUUAAAUGAAGUUUUGUGUUUCAUAACAGCUUCCCAAAUACUGUUGUAGAUACUAAAAUGUGCCUGUAUGUAUUUCCUUCCACAAUAAUAAUAGUAAUAAUAAACUUUUUUAGGUCCAAAUUAAACAUUUCUCAGCUUAAAUUUCUAUCCUCAAUCCAACAUUUAUUAUAUCAAAACUUGAUUUUUAAAAAUAAAACUUUCUUGGAAUUCAU